GAGCUUUCUUCAGCAGCACAUACACCAAAACCGGAACAACAAAGAGAAGAUCUGCACAGCCCUGUACAAAGAUGACAUGCAAAUUCAUGAAGUAUAUCAUAUUUUU
Small nuclear RNA from Mustela putorius furo (domestic ferret), 106 nucleotides. NCBI's taxonomy places the organism in Eukaryota, Metazoa, Chordata, Mammalia, Carnivora, Mustelidae. The record is from Ensembl.